GAAUGACUUUAUAACUUUUAGACCGUGAUGCCAAACUUGGCAUGUGAUACAUUUUUGGAAAGCCCAAAGAGAGCUUUCCGAUGAAUGAGGAAGCACAAUGGAAUUCUACCAGU
RNAcentral lists this small RNA (113 nucleotides) under Arabidopsis thaliana (thale cress). RNAcentral describes it as "ATSL164720". The record is from RNAcentral. Lineage: Eukaryota; Viridiplantae; Streptophyta; Magnoliopsida; Brassicales; Brassicaceae.